RNAcentral lists this long non-coding RNA (1343 nucleotides) under Chrysemys picta bellii (western painted turtle). RNAcentral's name for it is "lncRNA (ENSCPBG00000015639.1)". Lineage: Eukaryota; Metazoa; Chordata; Testudines; Emydidae. The record is from RNAcentral.
CCACUCCCCAGUCAUUCCCAACUGGCCACACACAUCGCGUCGUCUUUCUGUCCCCUCUCAAUGCUGGGGCCCAGCUCGCCGCUUGUUCCCAGGGGUCGCAGGGGCAGCCAUGGCUCAGGACCCUGCUUGCUGGGAGGUGCGUGGGGGGCAUGUGGGAACGGGGAGCGACUGGAGCUGGGGACCCUCCACUCAGCUGUCUCCUGUGGCAGACACAUGGAGCACAUUAGCAGGCUCUCAGUACAAGUUUGAUUGAUGGGGGGAGGCAUUCUAACUGACUAUCAAAGCAUGCCUGCUAUGUGAGAAGCAGACCCCAAUUAGUGGUGCCUUUUUAAAGGCUGCCUUGUUAAGCGGGGAAUAAGGGAAAAGAAUGAAAUUGGCCAGAAAACAUGGAGCUAUUUAACCUUAAUUAGAGGGAAGGUGUGGGCUUUGUGAAAAGGCCAUUUCUGAAAGGGAUUUUUCUCCCUGGGUACAAAGAGAUCCUGCCUGCUUGUUAUAGACUUGUUAGAAUUUAUAAGACUGGGCAGGAGACUAACUUGUAGAAAUGCCUUUUAUGCCACUUGAAUGUGUGGCUUGCUUAUUAUACACUGCCAUGCUGCCAUGAUGGCUGGUGGAGAGGAGGGGAGCGAGCAACCUUGCCAACUGGCUAUAAAUUUCAUGAACAUCAUAAAUGUAAGUGCUUUCUGGAGAGCUGUACAGAUUGCACAUAAAAGUCCCCCUUCUGUCCCUGUAAACUGAAAAGAGGGCUUUCUUGGCAAAUUAACCAUUGUAGAUAGCACUCCAUGCUGAGCGAGGAUGCAGAAAGGCUGCAAAUCCAGAGCUACAAAGUCACAACCGCAAGGGGAGGUCUCCAACGGAUCUCGGUGCCUCCACUCCCACGGCAAGCGUUGAUCCCGUCCGUGAUGGUUGAAGCUCUGCACUCGGCUGGCUCCCGCUGCCUUUCCGCCUAUGUGGGUUCAAGUUCCCAUUGCAGUACCGGAUGAUUUUACUUUGGUGCCAUAAGGAGCACAAAGAUAAUCUGAUGACUACACAGUAGGAGCAUUUAAAAUCGUCUAGGCAAGCACAGAGCAGGACACUCUGCCACUGGCCACCUGAGCCCAGGGCCACCCUGUGAGUGCACAGACAGCUGGAAGGAGGCACUUUAAAGCAUAACAUGAUGACUAUAUCCAUUUGACUAACUCACUGUGACCAGCCCACUGGGGUAGGUGAGAAGGGGGGAUCAGAGCUUUCAACUGACAGUGCACCAAGUUCUCUGGGAUUAUUCAUUGGCAGGCAGCAUGGGAAGUUGUUUGGGCAAAGACGUGAAUCUCCAUCCCCUAAGAAUGUCAGAAGCAAAACACGAGCGG